UACGUAGGGGGCUAGCGUUGUCCGGAAUCAUUGGGCGUAAAGCGCGUGUAGGCGGUCCGGUAAGUCCGCUGUGAAAGUCGGGGGCUCAACCCUCGGAUGCCGGUGGAUACUGUCGGGCUUGAGUACGGAAGAGGCGAGUGGAAUUCCUGGUGUAGCGGUGAAAUGCGCAGAUAUCAGGAGGAACACCAAUUGCGAAGGCAGCUCGCUGGGACGUUACUGACGCUGAGGCACGAAAGCGUGGGUAGCAAACAGG
Molecule: ribosomal RNA, 253 nt
Filed under: uncultured bacterium
Lineage: Bacteria
Description: partial 16S ribosomal RNA
Rfam family: Bacterial small subunit ribosomal RNA
Source: RNAcentral